This 427-nucleotide ribosomal RNA is filed under the name uncultured Chthoniobacter sp. RNAcentral describes it as "bacterial SSU rRNA". It matches the Rfam family "Bacterial small subunit ribosomal RNA", at positions 355 to 774 of the family's 1533-position model. Lineage: Bacteria; Pseudomonadati; Verrucomicrobiota; Spartobacteria; Chthoniobacterales; Chthoniobacteraceae. The record is from RNAcentral.
UCGAGAAUUUUUCUCAAUGGGGGAAACCCUGAAGGAGCGACGCCGCGUGGAGGAUGAAGGUCUUCGGAUUGUAAACUCCUGUCAUUGGUGAACAAGGCUGGGCGAGUAACUGCGCUCCAGUUUGAUAGUAGCCGAAGAGGAAGAGACGGCUAACUCUGUGCCAGCAGCCGCGGUAAUACAGAGGUCUCAAGCGUUGUUCGGAUUCAUUGGGCGUAAAGGGUGCGUAGGCGGUGAGGUAAGUCUGGUGUGAAAUCCCGGGGCUCAACCCCGGAACUGCACUGGAUACUGCCUUGCUUGAGCACUGGAGAGGGAACUGGAAUUUACGGUGUAGCAGUGAAAUGCGUAGAUAUCGUAAGGAAGACCAGUGGCGAAGGCGAGUUCCUGGACAGUUGCUGACACUGAGGCACGAAGGCUAGGGGAGCAAACG